CAAGCCCUGGAAACGGGGUCUAAUACCGGAUAUGACUGUCCGCCGCAUGGUGGAUGGUGUAAAGCUCCGGCGGUGCAGGAUGAGCCCGCGGCCUAUCAGCUUGUUGGUGAGGUAGUGGCUCACCAAGGCGACGACGGGUAGCCGGCCUGAGAGGGCGACCGGCCACACUGGGACUGAGACACGGCCCAGACUCCUACGGGAGGCAGCAGUGGGGAAUAUUGCACAAUGGGCGAAAGCCUGAUGCAGCGACGCCGCGUGAGGGAUGACGGCCUUCGGGUUGUAAACCUCUUUCAGCAGGGAAGAAGCGAGAGUGACGGUACCUGCAGAAGAAGCGCCGGCUAACUACGUGCCAGCAGCCGCGGUAAUACGUAGGGCGCAAGCGUUGUCCGGAAUUAUUGGGCGUAAAGAGCUCGUAGGCGGCUUGUCACGUCGGUUGUGAAAGCCCGGGGCUUAACCCCGGGUCUGCAGUCGAUACGGGCAGGCUAGAGUUCGGUAGGGGAGAUCGGAAUUCCUGGU
Molecule: ribosomal RNA, 516 nt
Filed under: uncultured Streptomyces sp.
Lineage: Bacteria; Bacillati; Actinomycetota; Actinomycetes; Kitasatosporales; Streptomycetaceae
Description: bacterial SSU rRNA
Rfam family: Bacterial small subunit ribosomal RNA
Source: RNAcentral